Molecule: ribosomal RNA, 469 nt
Filed under: uncultured bacterium
Lineage: Bacteria
Description: bacterial SSU rRNA
Rfam family: Bacterial small subunit ribosomal RNA
Source: RNAcentral
GGGCCCGCACAAGCGGUGGAGUAUGUGGUUUAAUUCGACGCAACGCGAAGAACCUUACCAAGCCUUGACAUUGAUUGCUAAGGGUAGAGAUACCCUGUUCCUCUUCGGAGGACAAGAAAACAGGUGGUGCACGGCUGUCGUCAGCUCGUGUCGUGAGAUGUUGGGUUAAGUCCCGCAACGAGCGCAACCCCUAUCUUCUGUUACCAGCGAGUUAAGUCGGGGACUCAGGAGAGACUGCCGCAGACAAUGCGGAGGAAGGCGGGGAUGACGUCAAGUCAUCAUGCCCCUUAUGGCUUGGGCUACACACGUACUACAAUGGCUCUUAAUAGAGGGAAGCGAAGGAGCGAUCCGGAGCAAACCCCAAAAACAGAGUCCCAGUUCGGAUUGCAGGCUGCAACCCGCCUGCAUGAAGCAGGAAUCGCUAGUAAUCGCAGGUCAGCAUACUGCGGUGAAUACGUUCCCGGGCCUU